RNAcentral lists this long non-coding RNA (205 nucleotides) under Lathyrus oleraceus (garden pea). RNAcentral describes it as "Pisum sativum (pea) long non-coding RNA (PSAT_LNC008043)". The record is from RNAcentral. Lineage: Eukaryota; Viridiplantae; Streptophyta; Magnoliopsida; Fabales; Fabaceae.
GCCGACAAAGCCAAAGCGGAGAUUUCUUUGCAAGCGCGUUUCAAUGAGAAGAAUAAGAGGUCGAAAGGAAAAUUUGCGGCGAGAGGUAAAUCAAAUUUUCAGAAUUUUGGUUCAAAUGAUUCGCAAAAUUCAAAGCAUUCGACGAGUGAAAAGGGUGAAAGUAGCUCCAAGGAUAGUGGUCAUAGCAAUGGUUUCAAGAAGCGUG